This 310-nucleotide long non-coding RNA is filed under the name Prunus persica (peach). Its description in RNAcentral is "long non-coding RNA (PPER_LNC003349)". Lineage: Eukaryota; Viridiplantae; Streptophyta; Magnoliopsida; Rosales; Rosaceae. The record is from RNAcentral.
GCCACCUAAACAAUGUAGUAAUGUCAGGUGUAUAAUAGUUGAAAAAUUGGCAAUUAGUGAAAUAAGUAAGAAAUGAACCAAAUGACAAAAACCUACAGUUGGUCAUGAAGAUGGUAAGCCUCUUCCUUCACUUAUGCCUCUUCCUAAGCCUCUUCCUCUAACUGCACUUAGCUUUGAAGAUGGUAAAUCUCUUCCUAAGCCAAUAUGUGAAGAUGGUAAGACUCCUUGUCCAUUACCUCUUGUCACCUAAAAAGUUACUGAUGUUUAUUGUUUUCCAAUGACAUAAGCAAUAAAAAAUUCAAUGGUUGGG